Non-coding RNA from Ornithorhynchus anatinus (platypus), 138 nucleotides. NCBI's taxonomy places the organism in Eukaryota, Metazoa, Chordata, Mammalia, Monotremata, Ornithorhynchidae. The record is from Rfam.
UCCUUCUCAGGGUCACACCUGGAGAGUUUCCUGUACUCUACCAGUUAUGAUUACAGGAGGGAGAGUCAAGCAGAGGCCUAACCAUUCCAUUCCUAGCUUGGGCAGUGGCUAGCGAGUGGAAGGCAAUCUGCUACAAGU